RNAcentral lists this long non-coding RNA (3436 nucleotides) under Lathyrus oleraceus (garden pea). RNAcentral's name for it is "Pisum sativum (pea) long non-coding RNA (PSAT_LNC032090)". The record is from RNAcentral. Lineage: Eukaryota; Viridiplantae; Streptophyta; Magnoliopsida; Fabales; Fabaceae.
UGAAAUCAAAAGACGAUCCACUGCUUAAGAAUCUCCUCUUACUAACCCUUGUCGUCGCAGACGUGAUUUUGGCCGAAUCCGUUGACAACGAAGACGGUGAUGACGAGGGAGACGGCGAAUUGCUUUUCUUGAAGUUUAGUUUUUGAAGAAAUGCCGAAAAGAGUUUGGACGAUUUCGAGAUUUUUUUCUCAUUCUUUUUGUUUGCAUUGUUGAAAUGGUAAGAAGGUGGUGGUGUGAGAGGAGGAAUUGUGUCUUUAGAGAAUGUGUGUUUUGGAGUUCCGGGUUGAGAUUCCCAAACAAAUGGAACAGCAACAGAAACUCUAAAGGAUGGGUUAGAGAUGGAGUUUUCCUUUGAGAGUAAUCUGCUGAAAAACUUGUCAUCUUGUUUGAUUUGAAGAACACUUUUCUCACAAGUUGAAUUGAACAUUUUUGGUUGAUUGGAAAUAUUGGUAAGAAUGAGAGGAAGAAAAGUUUGGGGAAUAUAAAUGGACUUAGCAUAGGUUGCAUAUCUACUUAUAUGAACACCAACUCAAAAUAGUAUUGAAAGACACUAAUACCGUUUUUACAAUGAAAAAGGAAUUUUGAUUAAUUUAAAUGAUUAAAACUGUAAUCAGUAUUGCAACAUAUUCAACUAUCAAAGUUGUAAAAUUCUUUACAAUUUUUGCAUUCACUAAGUCACAAUGAUAUGGAUAAAUAUUUUGUUGAGACCAAAUGAUUCAAAAAAAUAUUUAAAAAAAUUGGAUGAUUUAUUUACGGUGUAAAUUAAUUGUAUACAGUCAAUUAAUAAGGAUCAUAUUCCACCGAUUCAGAUCAAAUAUUUUAAAUAAUUUAUAUGAAAUGACAGUGUGAUAUAUUUUAAUUGAAUGACCGUGUAAGUGUAUCUUCAUUAAAUUUAUUUUAAAAACUAAAAUAUAGAUAUUAGAAUUAGUUUGAUUUUGCAAAAUAUAGGGUUACAUUUGCAAAUUGGUUACUUUUAGUUAAAAAUGUUUAAAUUUCCUGUGCUUAACUGUUUUUUGGACCAUCUCUGUUUAUUUUAGUCUGUUUUUGGACCAUUUCAUUUAAAUUUGAAAGCAAGGCUAAAUUAAAUUGGAUAAAUUAUGGUUGUGGAUGCUAGUUUUUUAUUUCUGGAAUAUUGGUUUUGGACCCACACAUCUUAUAAUUAAAGUUUUAAAUUGUAAUUAUGGGCUAAUUAUGUGCCUUGAUAUUUUGGAAUAUUUUUUUUCCGAAUAAGAUUAUAUGAUCAUAAUUGCAAUUAUAAUCCAAACACAUAUUCACAUAGAUGUCAAAAAUCUUGAUGUGCUAGUGUCGGUUCAACACAAUUGGUUGGAAGUUUUAAAAUAUAUAUAUAUAUAUAUAUAUAUAUAUAUAUAUAUUACACCAUCGGUUCAUCAUCAUCACCCGUUUGUAUUAAUUUAUAGAUUUUUAAAACAAAAGUCAAACUUCUUUUAAUAAAUAAUCCAACGUCUAUAUUAACUGACGGUGAAAACAGUGUAUUUCAAUUAAUCUUAUAUAUUAAUAAUAUAUAUAUAUAUAAUAAUAUAAUAUAUUAUUUAUAUAGAUAUAUAUAUAUAUAUUAUAUAUAUAUAUUAAUUAUAUAUAUAUAUAAUAUAUAUAUAUAAUAUAUAUAUGAGAUUAAUUGAAAUACACUGUCAGUGUAAAAGGGUUUUACACAUCACUUAAUUAUAGACGUUGGAUAUUAAAAGAGUUUGACUUUUAUUUAAAAUCUAUAAAGUAAUACAAACGGGUGAUGGUGAUGAACGACGGUGUAAAACUUUUUACACUGACAGUGUAUAGUAAUUAAUCUCUAUAUAUAUAUAUUGAUUCAUUGAAAUACAUUGACAGUGUAAAGAGAUUUUACACCGUCAAUUAAUCUUAGGUCUUGGAUAUUAAAUAAAUUGAUUUUUAUUUUAAAAAUCUAUAAAGUAAUGCAAAGCGGUGAUGAAAUGAACGACACAGUUUAAUAUUAUAUAUAUAUAAUAUAAUAUAUAUUAUAUAAUAUAUUAAUUAUAUAUAUAUAUAUAUUAUAAUAUAUAUAAUAUAUAUUAUAUAUAAUAUAUAUAUAUAUAUAUAUAUAUUGGUUGGUUGCAAAUAUAAUAAGAUGAAAACUCUACGAAUCACUUUUCUACAUCACUAUUCAUGAAAAUGAGGNNNNNNNNNNNNNNNNNNNNNNNNNAGAGAGAUAAGGGUCCAAAUUUAUUUUUCAUCUCCCCUAAUUUGACCAUAUUUCUAGAGAAAUAGCAAAAACAAACUUGUGUGCAAUUAAAAGCUUCUCUCAAUCUAGUUCACAUAAUCACAGCUGCAAAUAAACAAAAGCAACACCAAUAUUUUGUGUACAAAAUGAUCAAAGAACUAUAUAGGAUAUUUUAAAACUACCAUUAAAUUGCUGAAGAUUCCACUCACUUACGCUUAAAAUAAGCUUUUUUUCAGGAGGAACAAAAAACAAAUACCAAAUCUAACAAAGAAAUAAUGAACAAUACUAAAAAACUUUGAAUACAUAAAAAAAAUAUAUAAAAUUGAUCUUGAAUUUGUGGUCUCUAAGACAUAGCAACAAAAUUAAAGACCUACUUCAUUUUUUUUUGUUUUUUUUGUGAUGGUUCAAACUUUUUAUAUUUGUGAUUUCCUUAUAAAACAUUAAGAAAACAUAUAGCAAAAACCUUUGUCCCCAAGAAAAAACUCAGAGAACAUUAAGAAAACAUAUAGCAAAAACCUUUUGUCCAAGAAAAAACUCCAACUCAGAUUCAGACAGACACAGACACGAUACCAUAUCAGACACCACCAGACACGUUGGUAAUGGCAUUUUUAACUUAUGUCGGACAUGAUCAUGCUUUCAUUUCCAUGAACGAUAGGAUAUAUUCUUUGAUUACCUUCGCGCCUCUUGUAGAUACUUUGGAAUCCACUGUUCGAGCUAGCGAACGAUGAAUUCCAAAGCACAAUGUAGAAAACGGCGAACCAUUACCAUCAUCUUCACUUACACCUUGAAUCAAAAGACGAUCCACUGCUUAAGAAUCCCUCUUACUACCUUGUCGUCGCAGACGUGAUUUGGCCGAAUCCGUUGACAACGAGAAGGUGAUGACGAGGGAGACGGCGAAUUGCUUUUCUUGAAGUUUAGUUUUUGAAGAAAUGCCGAAAGAGUUUGGACGAUUUCGAGAUUUUCUCAUUCUUUUGUUUGCAUUGUUGAAAUGGUAAGAAGGUGGUGGUGUGAGAGGAAGGAAUUGUGUCUUUAGAGAAUGUGUGUUUUUGGAGUUCCGGGUUGAGAUUCCAAACAAAUGGAACAGCAACAGAAACUCUAAAGGAUGGUUAGAGAUGGAGUUUUCCUUUGAGAGUAAUCUGCUGAAAAACUUGUCCAUCUUGUUUGAUUUGAAGAACACUUUUCUCACAAGUUGAAUUGAACAUUUUUGGUUGAUUGGAAAUAUUGGUAAGAAUGAGAGGAAGAAAA